CAAUAGCGUAUAUUAAAGUUGUUGCAGUUAAAAAGCUCGUAGUUGAAUUUCUGGAGGGCACGUUGGGACCGCUUGAUUGCGCGUCCUUGACGAACUCUCCAUCCUUGCAGGGGGCGCGUCGGCCUUCAUUGGUUCGGCGUGUCGGCCUGCAUCCUUUACUGUGAAAAAAUUAGAGUGUUUAAAGCAGGCGAUCGCUUGAAUACAUUAGCAUGGAAUAAUAAGAUAGGACUUUGGUCUAUUUUGUUGGUUGCGGCCCAAGGUAAUGAUUAAUAGGGAUGAUUGGGGACAUUCAUAUUGAGGUGGAAGAGGUGAAAUUCUUGGAUUUCCUCAAGAUGAACUGCUGCGAAANCGNNNGUCUAGGGCGUUUUCAUNAA
RNAcentral lists this ribosomal RNA (374 nucleotides) under uncultured eukaryote. RNAcentral describes it as "partial 18S ribosomal RNA". It matches the Rfam family "Eukaryotic small subunit ribosomal RNA", at positions 592 to 976 of the family's 1831-position model. The record is from RNAcentral.